RNAcentral lists this ribosomal RNA (584 nucleotides) under uncultured bacterium. RNAcentral's name for it is "partial 16S ribosomal RNA". It matches the Rfam family "Bacterial small subunit ribosomal RNA", at positions 355 to 1375 of the family's 1533-position model. The record is from RNAcentral.
UGGGGAAUUUUGGACAAUGGGCGAAAGCCUGAUCCAGCAAUGCCGCGUGUGUGAAGAAGGCCUUCGGGUUGUAAAGCACUUUUGUCCGGAAAGAAAUCCUUGGCUCUAAUACAGUCGGGGGAUGACGGUACCGGAAGAAUAAGCACCGGCUAACUACGUGCCAGCAGCCGCGGUAAUACGUAGGGUGCAAGCGUUAAUCGGAAUUACUGGGCGUAAAGCGUGCGCAGGCGGUUUGCUAAGACCGAUGUGAAAUCCCCGGGCUCAACCUGGGAACUGCAUUGGUGACUGGCAGGCUAGAGUAUGGCAGAGGGGGGUAGAAUUCCACGUGUAGCAGUGAAAUGCGUAGAGAUGUGGAGGAAUACCGAUGGCGAAGGCAGCCCCCUGGGCCAAUACUGACGCUCAUGCACGAAAGCGUGGGGAGCAAACAGGAUUAGAUACCCUGGUAGUCCACGCCCUAAACGAUGUCAACUAGUUGUUGGGGAUUCAUUCCUUAGUAACGCAGCUAACGCGUGAAGUUGACCGCCUGGGGAGUACGGUCGCAAGAUUAAAACUCAAAUGAAUUGACGGGGUCAUAGCUGUUUCCU